GUUGAGGCUGAGGCGUGAUGCCUAGUCACCACGGUGCUGAAGUGACAAAUGCGCUGCUUCCCGGAAAAGCCUCUGAGCAUUAGGCGACAUCAACUCGCACCGCAACCCGACUCUGGGGGUCGGGGAUAGAAUACCGAGGUCGCUUGCGAGAACUCGGGUGAAGGAACUAGGCAAAAUGGUGCCGUAACUUCGGGAGAAGGCACGCGGACAUGGAGGAGAAGUCCCUGCAGGCGGAGCGGAAGUCAGUCGAAGAUACCAGGUGGCUAGAACCGUUUAUUAAAAACGCAGCACUGUGCAAACACGCAAGUGGACGUAUACGGCGUGACGCCUGCCCGGUGCGGGGAGGUUAAUU
This 352-nucleotide ribosomal RNA is filed under the name Cronobacter sakazakii. Its description in RNAcentral is "bacterial LSU rRNA". It matches the Rfam family "Bacterial large subunit ribosomal RNA", at positions 1549 to 1882 of the family's 2925-position model. Lineage: Bacteria; Pseudomonadati; Pseudomonadota; Gammaproteobacteria; Enterobacterales; Enterobacteriaceae. The record is from RNAcentral.